AGAGAGAAAGAAUAGCAUACAGAAAUGCCAGAUUGACCGUGUUCAGUAACCCUAAGCUAAUAAGCUUCAUUUUUUUCCUAGAAACUUUUUUUUUUUUUUUUAUGUGGACCAUUUUUAACAUCUUUUUUGAUGGCAUCAUUGACUCAAUGGACAUGAGUUUGAGCAAGCUCUGGGAGAUAGAGAAGGAUAGGGAAGCCUGGCGUACUGCAGUCAAUGGGAUCACAAAGAGUCAGACAUGACUGAGCAACAACAUUGAAUGUGUUACAAUAUUAUUUCUAUUUUAUGUUUUGUUUUUUAGGGGGCCAGGAGGCAUGUGGGAUCUUAGCUGUCCGCCCAGGAAUCAAAUAGGCAUCUUCUGCAUUGACAGGUAGAUUCUUUACCAGAGUGCCACGAGGGAAGUCCCUAAAAAAGCUGCUUUUAUUCCACAGGCCAGUGAUGUUCCACUGACCUCUGGGCUUUAGACAAGAAACUAGGAGAAAGGAAGAAAGUGAGAGCGCAAAGCAGAAAAAAGUAAAUAAGUAAGUUUCUGACCUUUCAUCUUAAGAUUUCCCCACAGCAGUGCUGCCUUCCUCACUUCUUGCCCACAAUCUCCACUUCAGGAGUAAAGAAAGCGCCCAGGAAAGUACGAGGCCGAAUCUCGACCUUCCACAGUCAGAGAACAGUUAACUCCAGGCUUCUCAUCCUUACUGCAGCUUCAAAAUGCCGGCCUCUGAGAAUAUAUCCUGUCUAGCUGACUCAUUAGAGAAGAACCUGAUGCUGGGAAAGAUUGAAGGCCAGAGGAGAAGAGGACAACAGAGGAUGAGAUGGCUGGAUGGCAUCACGGACUCAGCGGACAAAGGUUUGAGCAAGCUCUGGGAGAUGGUGAAGGACAGGGAAGCCUGGUGUGCUGUAGUCCAUGAAGCUGCAAAGAGUCGGACACGACUGAGUGACUGAACAAGAUCAACAACCUGAAGAUCACUCACUUAAGUGAUUAAGUUUACUUGCUUCCUUGAGACCUAGGUAAUAGUGUUGUAGACUCAAGAGGCACCAGCCUCUCAUGUUGGAACCAAACAGGAAAAAAAAUCAGGUACAAUUAAGGAAUUGAAAAUGGCCUACAUGUUUCAGAAACUAAUUCAGUGGCUUCUACUUUGGUUUCUCCCAAGAGAAUAGGAAAGGAUGACUCCCCUACUUUGGGCUCCAUCCAUUUCUCAACAAGCUGCCCUACCAUCUCCACCUCCUCCUACUCUUACAUUUACAGUCACUCCGUUCUGCACCUUCUGAAGAGCAAAUGUGCCAGUGAUCACUCCUCACAAUAAUCCUAGGUGAGAACCUAGGAAACGAUCAAAGACAAGCUAUUGAAAAAAAGCAUUUGGCCCUUGUGCCUUGAGCGUAAAAGCAACUAGUCAAUAAAAGAAGGCACAGGUGGAAAGAAUGUGGAUUC
RNAcentral lists this long non-coding RNA (1420 nucleotides) under Bos indicus x Bos taurus (hybrid cattle). RNAcentral's name for it is "lncRNA (ENSBIXG00000008657.1)". The record is from RNAcentral. Lineage: Eukaryota; Metazoa; Chordata; Mammalia; Artiodactyla; Bovidae.